RNAcentral lists this long non-coding RNA (566 nucleotides) under Monodelphis domestica (gray short-tailed opossum). Its description in RNAcentral is "lncRNA (ENSMODG00000030229.2)". The record is from RNAcentral. Lineage: Eukaryota; Metazoa; Chordata; Mammalia; Didelphimorphia; Didelphidae.
CUCGCUGUUCCCCAUACAUUUCACCUCCUGAAUCACUGCUUUUCCACAGACUGGCCCCCAUUCCUGGAAUGUUCCUCCUCCUCCUCCCCGGAGCCCUUUGGAAUCCUGAAUACUCUUCAGGGUUGGUUUCUGGUGCUGCCUCCUAGAGAGGUUGUUUCCUGAUCCUCCCAGGUGGCUGUGCUUUCCUCCCUAACCACAAAUUGCUUUGUGUUUGCUUUUUAAGAAAGAGGAAUCCAGAGGCUAGAGAUGGACUUCUGCCUUAAUUUCUUCUGGAUCCCUGGGACUUCUGGGGCCUGACACCUUUUUGUGUACAGACCUUGUUUCCCUCUGUAGACUUGUAAAAGGCCUUCAGGGUAGGGAAAGGUGGUUAAUAAAUGCUUGUUAAAUUUUACUGAGUGAUUCUCAAGCAGUCACCAAGGGAGAUCUGGAGCUGGAGCAGUAAAGUGGGAAGAGAAACAGAGAGGAAGACGGCAAGCAGAGGAAUGAUUCUAGAGAUCAUCUUUCAAGGUGAGACGACAGGCAAGUAUGUAUCCUAUAAAGAAGAAGGUACCCCGGACCUGUGACAA